Molecule: ribosomal RNA, 440 nt
Filed under: uncultured bacterium
Lineage: Bacteria
Description: partial 16S ribosomal RNA
Rfam family: Bacterial small subunit ribosomal RNA
Source: RNAcentral
CCUACGGGAGGCAGCAGUGGGGGAUAUUGCACAAUGGGGGGAACCCUGAUGCAGCGACGCCGCGUGAGUGAAGAAGCGCCUCGGCGCGUAAAGCUCUGUCAGUAGGGAAGAAAAUGACGGUACCUGAAGAAGAAGCCCCGGCUAACUACGUGCCAGCAGCCGCGGUAAUACGUAGGGGGCAAGCGUUAUCCGGAUUUACUGGGUGUAAAGGGGGCGCAGACGGCGAUGCAAGCCAGGAGUGAAAGCCCGGGGCCCAACCCCGGGACUGCAGUUGAAACUGCGUGGCUGGAGUGCAGGAGGGGCAGGCGGAAUUCCUGGUGUAGCGGUGAAAUGCGUAGAUAUCAGGAGGAACACCGGUGGCGAAGGCAGCCUACUGGACUGCAACUGACGUUGAGGCCCGAAAGCGUGGGGAGCAAACAGGAUUAGAUACCCGAGUAGUC